Molecule: long non-coding RNA, 426 nt
Organism: Aethalodelphis obliquidens (Pacific white-sided dolphin)
Lineage: Eukaryota; Metazoa; Chordata; Mammalia; Artiodactyla; Delphinidae
Exons: 3
Source: RefSeq, a predicted model, not a curated record
UGUAAUAAAAAAUAAAAAUUCUCAUAUUUGUUUUCUCUUCAAAUGUCUUAUGUUUCUUGGCUAUCUCUUCACACAGGUGUGCAGCAUUAUAACUCUGGAGGCUCUGAGUACGUGGGCAGGGUUGUGGACACACGGACCUCACACAGGGAAACUGAUGGCCACCAUGUCACACACUGCAGUGGAAACCAUUCACAGAGGAUCCAAUGUGAGUGCCCACCUGGAGUUGUGCAGCAGUGCAGCCUUACAAGAGUACAGAUGGAGUGAGGGUUCACAGGUCUUCAGAAGGUGAGGAAUUUCACUGGAGAAACUGUACUUAAGAAUAUAUACUUGAGGGACUUCCCUGGUGACACAGUGGUUAAGAAUCUGCCUGCCAGUGCAGGGGACACAGGUUCAAUCCCUGGUCCAGGAAGAUCCCAAAUGCCACGG